Galleria mellonella (greater wax moth) is the source of this 2324-nucleotide RNA transcript. It is a transcript of the gene named serpin I2-like, with no coding region annotated. The record is from RefSeq and is a predicted model, not a curated record. The transcript has 8 exons. Lineage: Eukaryota; Metazoa; Arthropoda; Insecta; Lepidoptera; Pyralidae.
GACGCCUUGGUAGUGACCGUAGUGGUGUUUUGUUAGUUUUCAUUAUAUUUGUAUUACUUUCGGUGGCAAAAAUUCUAUAGCCAAACCUAAGUUUUUAAUUAGGUAUGACAAAUUAAUGUUGUUUAAAUCACCAUGUAAUUACAUUUUUCUUAUAUUUAUUUCUCUGAGUGUCUAUCUGCCUUGUGUUAGAUAGGUAAACUUAAAUUUAUAGACCCUCGUAUUUUAAAAUUAUUUUAUACUACAAAAAGUAUAAUCCAAUUAACCAAGCAUAAUUCUACGUAUUUAUAAUGUUUAUUAAAUUUAAUUUAAUAGUGAAAAUUGUGUUAUUAUGUAUAAAAAUUGAGAAGAUGAACACCACGGCUUAUGAUAUAUCAUAUUUUAAACCAUUUGGACAAUGGCCAGGUCUUUAUCGACCGCUACAGUCUGUGCGAAAACAACAAUCAAUACCAUAUAGAUGUUAUGUUCCUAUGCAUUGGACCGAUUGUAUCAUCACUCCCAAAGAUAUCGUGAUUGAUACUUCAUAUCUGAACACAAAAAUUGGGUUGCAGCAACCAAGGAAUAAACAAUUGAAUGGCUUGAUAUAUCAAAAUGAUCGUAAUUUUAACAUGGUCGGCAAUCUCCAACCACUCCUUCCAGUAUACGACAAAUCUAGUUUACCUGCGAGACCAAUGGAAUCGGUACAUUCACUUAUACCAAUUAAUGGAAGAAAAUCAUUUGACGCCAAUAAAAAUAAUUUGUUAUUAUCGCUAAAACCGUCCAAUACAUCUGUUGAAUUGUAUACAAAUAGUGACAUAAUAAAACCAAGUAACAUGCCAAUCGUUUUGGGACCUAUAGCAAAACCGUUAGUACAGCUUCCAACUGGAGUAAUUUCGAAUGACACGAAUAAACAAACAGCAAAUAAACAAGGAAAUAAAUUAUUACUGUUAGAUAAAUUCAAGGAGGCUCUGGAAAAGUUAGAACUUAAAUUUUAUAUGACAACGUUUACCAAAUUAUCAUCAUCUGGUUCAGAAGGACGCCGUGAGAACGGUAUUAGCUUCGUGCAAUCAGCAUUAUUUCUGCAGCUUCAUUUGAUGGCAAUUUCAACCGAAGUGGAUAAUAUUACAAAAGCAGAGAUCGACGAUUGCAUAGGACUUCAUAUUUCAGAUGCGGAUAAAAUAGAACUAAUAAAGGCUGUAUUACCAACAUUACCGAAUACGAACAUGGACCUCGUGUUCCGGUGGCAGUCGCGGCUGGUUUUGGGGGCCGGUCAGAACGUCAGCGAACAAUUCAUACAUGGCGCUGCUGCUGCAUUACAACUACAUUUAGUUCAUUUUCAUCCUGAAGAAUCAGCUCAGUCACUUUCACAGAAACUUAAUCGCAUGGUGGAAGAAGAUUCAAAAGGCGCGAUGCAUGAUACAUUUGAAGAGGAAGAGUUUUCCGAAGGCUUGCGAGCUCUGGCAAUGAACACGCUGUACCUCCGCGGCCGUUGGCGCUCCGCCCCCACGGUACUAAAUGGUUCAUGGCCGUUUCGCGACGCCGAUGGCGCCCCCCGUAGGACUGUGCGUAUGAUACGCAUUAAUGACAUCAUGCGUUAUGGGGAUUUAACAGAAUGUAAUGCUGAGGCUAUAGAGGUAGCUUAUGCGACACCUGGCCUCACUCUUCUCAUAUUGGUGCCUCGCGGAAGAUCUUUAAGAAAGCUGGCCAGCCAUGUAGUUGCCAAUACCUUACAUGAUAUUACAGAAAAAAUGACCACCAUGAGGGUGGCUGCUACGCUACCGCUAUACACACUGCGCAUGACGCUGUUACUGCCAAGUAAACUGCAAACAAUGGGAAUAUCAGGGCUCUUCAACACAAAUAUAACGGAUAAUGGACAGUUGAGAUUAUCUCAUGGUGUUCAAAGACUGAUGUUUUGGGCAGAGGCAGGUCGCAAUGCAUUUAAAGAUGAUGGUACAUAGUAAUAACUGCCAGACAAUCACAAUCGCCUAGCCCUCAAGAUACCCUGUAUUAUUAGGAACCAGGCGACGAACUUCUAGGGGUACAACCCAGAUCCAAUCCAAACAAGUUCGUUGUCUAAAUUGGCCCUCCGGAAAUGGAACCAGGGAUCUCAUCAUUAAAGAUUAUUUAUAUAAAGCAACGUGCCCACACCGGAAUUGAAUGGGAAGAGACACCUGAAUAUGAAAUGGUUGUAGAUAGACCGUAUAUGUUCUUCGUGCGCUGGCACAAUAUGACACUUCUGAAUGGUAAUUUUGUGCUAUAGCUGCAUUAACUGAAUUGAAUUUAAAUAUUUCGAGGACAUGUUGAUUAAUUAACCUUAAUACUAAUAGAAAUAAAAUUAAUGAAAAACA